Molecule: ribosomal RNA, 253 nt
Filed under: uncultured bacterium
Lineage: Bacteria
Description: partial 16S ribosomal RNA
Rfam family: Bacterial small subunit ribosomal RNA
Source: RNAcentral
UACAGAGGGGGCAAGCGUUGUUCGGAAUUACUGGGCGUAAAGGGCGCGUAGGCGGCCUGCUAAGUCGAACGUGAAAUCCCCGGGCUCAACCCGGGAACUGCGUCCGAUACUGGCAGGCUUGAAUUCGGGAGAGGGAUGCGGAAUUCCACGUGUAGCAGUGAAAUGCGUAGAGAUGUGGAGGAACACCGAUGGCGAAGGCAGCCUCCUGGGCCAGCACUGACGCUCAUGCACGAAAGCGUGGGGAGCAAACAGG